UUAUUGGAGAGUUUGAUCCUGGCUCAGGACGAACGCUGGCGGCGUGCCUAAUACAUGCAAGUCGAGCGGACUUGAGGGAGCUUGCUCCCGAUGGUCAGCGGCGGACGGGUGAGUAACACGUGGGCAACCUGCCUGUAAGACUGGGAUAACUCCGGGAAACCGGGGCUAAUACCGGAUAAUUCAUUCCCUCACAUGAGGGAAUGCUGAAAGACGGCUUUUGCUGUCACUUACAGAUGGGCCCGCGGCGCAUUAGCUAGUUGGUGAGGUAACGGCUCACCAAGGCCACGAUGCGUAGCCGACCUGAGAGGGUGAUCGGCCACACUGGGACUGAGACACGGCCCAGACUCCUACGGGAGGCAGCAGUAGGGAAUCUUCCGCAAUGGACGAAAGUCUGACGGAGCAACGCCGCGUGAGCGAAGAAGGCCUUCGGGUCGUAAAGCUCUGUUGUCAGGGAAGAACAAGUACCGGAGUAACUGCCGGUACCUUGACGGUACCUGACCAGAAAGCCACGGCUAACUACGUGCCAGCAGCCGCGGUAAUACGUAGGU
This 548-nucleotide non-coding RNA is filed under the name Mesobacillus campisalis. RNAcentral's name for it is "Bacillus campisalis Bacterial small subunit ribosomal RNA". It matches the Rfam family "Bacterial small subunit ribosomal RNA", at positions 1 to 532 of the family's 1533-position model. The record is from Rfam by way of RNAcentral. Lineage: Bacteria; Bacillati; Bacillota; Bacilli; Caryophanales; Bacillaceae.